RNAcentral lists this ribosomal RNA (95 nucleotides) under Bacteroidetes bacterium ADurb.BinA395. Lineage: Bacteria; Pseudomonadati; Bacteroidota. The record is from RNAcentral.
GGUGGUUAUAGGGUCAGGGUUCCACCUCUUCCCAUUCCGAACAGAGAAGUUAAGCCUGACAACGUCGAUGGUACUGCCCGCAAGGUGGGAGAGUA